GCGCUGAUAGAUGAGCCCAAGUCGGAUUAGCUAGUUGGUAGGGUAAUGGCCUACCAAGGCGACGAUCCGUAACUGGUCUGAGAGGACGACCAGUCACACCGGAACUGAGACACGGUCCGG
RNAcentral lists this ribosomal RNA (120 nucleotides) under uncultured bacterium. RNAcentral describes it as "partial 16S ribosomal RNA". It matches the Rfam family "Bacterial small subunit ribosomal RNA", at positions 215 to 334 of the family's 1533-position model. The record is from RNAcentral.